UACGUAGGGUGCAAGCGUUGUCCGGAAUUAUUGGGCGUAAAGAGCUCGUAGGCGGUUUGUCGCGUCGAAUGUGAAAACCCGGGGCUCAACCCCGGGCCUGCAUUCGAUACGGGCAGACUAGAGUUCGGUAGGGGAGUCUGGAAUUCCUGGUGUAGCGGUGAAAUGCGCAGAUAUCAGGAGGAACACCAGUGGCGAAGGCGGUGCUCUGGGCCGGAACUGACGCUGAGGAGCGAAAGCGUGGGGAGCAAACAGG
Molecule: ribosomal RNA, 253 nt
Filed under: uncultured bacterium
Lineage: Bacteria
Description: partial 16S ribosomal RNA
Rfam family: Bacterial small subunit ribosomal RNA
Source: RNAcentral